Molecule: ribosomal RNA, 303 nt
Filed under: uncultured bacterium
Lineage: Bacteria
Description: partial 16S ribosomal RNA
Rfam family: Bacterial small subunit ribosomal RNA
Source: RNAcentral
AGCAGUCGCCGCGGUAACACGUAGGUGGCAGGCGUUGUCCGGAAUUAUUGGGCGUAAAGGGCUCGCAGGCGGUUUCUUAAGUCUGAUGUGAAAGCCCCCGGCUCAACCGGGGAGGGUCAUUGGAAACUGGGAAACUUGAGUGCAGAAGAGGAGAGUGGAAUUCCACGUGUAGCGGUGAAAUGCGUAGAGAUGUGGAGGAACACCAGUGGCGAAGGCGACUCUCUGGUCUGUAACUGACGCUGAGGAGCGAAAGCGUGGGGAGCGAACAGGAUUAGAUACCCCAGUAGUCCCUGUCUCUUAUAC